Molecule: non-coding RNA, 418 nt
Organism: Paramuricea clavata
Lineage: Eukaryota; Metazoa; Cnidaria; Anthozoa; Malacalcyonacea; Plexauridae
Source: the annotation of a GenBank genome assembly
CUGUACUAAAGCUUCUACUUGAUGCAGCAUCAUAGGUUUAUUACAAAAUUCUACGAGUGGUUUCGGUUGGGAAAGUGUCAAAGGACGCAAUCGAGUACCAUACCCGCCGACUAAAAUUAAAGCUUUCAUAAUUGUAGCGAAGGGUUCUUCUACGCGAGGUUUUUCUUGUGCUUUUGCUUGUUCAAUUUGUAGAAAAUGUUUUCAAAGCUAUGGAAAUUAAUAUUUGCAACGUGUUACGUGUCGUGAAAUAUUUUAUAUUCCGAAUAUCCAAGCGGAAAAUAUCGUAGCAACCUGCAACGAGUUCACCACCCCCCGGAAGCAAAUGCCUCAUAUCACUUUUUGCAGGGGGUUAAUAGAACAAAAUGUGAAAUAUUUUCACCUUCAUGCAGAUUCCCCCCGUAAUGUUACUCAUAAGAGC